RNAcentral lists this ribosomal RNA (1562 nucleotides) under Escherichia coli. Its description in RNAcentral is "partial 23S ribosomal RNA". It matches the Rfam family "Bacterial large subunit ribosomal RNA", at positions 1374 to 2915 of the family's 2925-position model. The record is from RNAcentral. Lineage: Bacteria; Pseudomonadati; Pseudomonadota; Gammaproteobacteria; Enterobacterales; Enterobacteriaceae.
GCAGGGUGAGUCGACCCCUAAGGCGAGGCCGAAAGGCGUAGUCGAUGGGAAACAGGUUAAUAUUCCUGUACUUGGUGUUACUGCGAAGGGGGGACGGAGAAGGCUAUGUUGGCCGGGCGACGGUUGUCCCGGUUUAAGCGUGUAGGCUGGUUUUCCAGGCAAAUCCGGAAAAUCAAGGCUGAGGCGUGAUGACGAGGCACUACGGUGCUGAAGCAACAAAUGCCCUGCUUCCAGGAAAAGCCUCUAAGCAUCAGGUAACAUCAAAUCGUACCCCAAACCGACACAGGUGGUCAGGUAGAGAAUACCAAGGCGCUUGAGAGAACUCGGGUGAAGGAACUAGGCAAAAUGGUGCCGUAACUUCGGGAGAAGGCACGCUGAUAUGUAGGUGAAGUCCCUCGCGGAUGGAGCUGAAAUCAGUCGAAGAUACCAGCUGGCUGCAACUGUUUAUUAAAAACACAGCACUGUGCAAACACGAAAGUGGACGUAUACGGUGUGACGCCUGCCCGGUGCCGGAAGGUUAAUUGAUGGGGUCAGCGCAAGCGAAGCUCUUGAUCGAAGCCCCGGUAAACGGCGGCCGUAACUAUAACGGUCCUAAGGUAGCGAAAUUCCUUGUCGGGUAAGUUCCGACCUGCACGAAUGGCGUAAUGAUGGCCAGGCUGUCUCCACCCGAGACUCAGUGAAAUUGAACUCGCUGUGAAGAUGCAGUGUACCCGCGGCAAGACGGAAAGACCCCGUGAACCUUUACUAUAGCUUGACACUGAACAUUGAGCCUUGAUGUGUAGGAUAGGUGGGAGGCUUUGAAGUGUGGACGCCAGUCUGCAUGGAGCCGGCCUUGAAAUACCACCCUUUAAUGUUUGAUGUUCUAACGUUGACCCGUGAUCCGGGUUGCGGACAGUGUCUGGUGGGUAGUUUGACUGGGGCGGUCUCCUCCUAAAGAGUAACGGAGGAGCACGAAGGUUGGCUAAUCCUGGUCGGACAUCAGGAGGUUAGUGCAAUGGCAUAAGCCAGCUUGACUGCGAGCGUGACGGCGCGAGCAGGUGCGAAAGCAGGUCAUAGUGAUCCGGUGGUUCUGAAUGGAAGGGCCAUCGCUCAACGGAUAAAAGGUACUCCGGGGAUAACAGGCUGAUACCGCCCAAGAGUUCAUAUCGACGGCGGUGUUUGGCACCUCGAUGUCGGCUCAUCACAUCCUGGGGCUGAAGUAGGUCCCAAGGGUAUGGCUGUUCGCCAUUUAAAGUGGUACGCGAGCUGGGUUUAGAACGUCGUGAGACAGUUCGGUCCCUAUCUGCCGUGGGCGCUGGAGAACUGAGGGGGGCUGCUCCUAGUACGAGAGGACCGGAGUGGACGCAUCACUGGUGUUCGGGUUGUCAUGCCAAUGGCACUGCCCGGUAGCUAAAUGCGGAAGAGAUAAGUGCUGAAAGCAUCUAAGCACGAAACUUGCCCCGAGAUGAGUUCUCCCUGACUCCUUGAGAGUCCUGAAGGAACGUUGAAGACGACGACGUUGAUAGGCCGGGUGUGUAAGCGCAGCGAUGCGUUGAGCUAACCGGUACUAAUGAACCGUGAGG